This 253-nucleotide ribosomal RNA is filed under the name uncultured bacterium. RNAcentral describes it as "partial 16S ribosomal RNA". It matches the Rfam family "Bacterial small subunit ribosomal RNA", at positions 524 to 776 of the family's 1533-position model. The record is from RNAcentral.
GACGAACCGUGCGAACGUUGUUCGGAUUCACUGGGCUUAAAGGGCGCGUAGGCGGGUGAUCAAGUCCAGGGUGAAAUACUCCAGCUUAACUGGAGAAUAGCCCUGGAUACUGGUCGUCUUGAGGGAGGUAGGGGCAUGUGGAACUUCCGGUGGAGCGGUGAAAUGCGUAGAUAUCGGAAGGAACGCCGGUGGCGAAAGCGAUGUGCUGGACCUCUUCUGACGCUGAGGCGCGAAAGCCAGGGGAGCGAACGGG